GGGGAGGUCGCAUAGCCUGGUCGAGUGCGCCCGCCUGCUAAGUGGGUAAGGGUCAAUUAAAGAUCCUUCGCGGGUUCAAAUCCCGCCCUCCCCGCCA
Molecule: transfer RNA, 97 nt
Filed under: Chloroflexota bacterium
Lineage: Bacteria; Bacillati; Chloroflexota
Description: Chloroflexi bacterium (freshwater metagenome) tRNA-Ser
Rfam family: tRNA
About the family: Transfer RNA (tRNA) molecules are approximately 80 nucleotides in length. Their secondary structure includes four short double-helical elements and three loops (D, anti-codon, and T loops).
Source: RNAcentral